This 2249-nucleotide long non-coding RNA is filed under the name Capsicum annuum. Its description in RNAcentral is "long non-coding RNA (CANN_LNC018502)". The record is from RNAcentral. Lineage: Eukaryota; Viridiplantae; Streptophyta; Magnoliopsida; Solanales; Solanaceae.
UCAGCUACAAUACUACGCUUAUCCAUUUUAAUCAUACAAUUUCCCAACAAUACACAUUGCUACAAGAGUCGGAGUCCAGUUAUACCUAUAGACACCUACUUUUGUUCCUCCCAUAAACUCAAUUUAUCCAUUUUUGGCCUCACCUUAUCAUACACCCUCACCCAUUUAAUAAUUCACCCUACAAGAAUCUAAAUAACAAACUCACAACAAAAGUAACAACCCCUCUAACUAAUUUUGACACCUCACACCCAUACCCCUACCCUCUAGCUAUACUUCAUACCCUCUACCUCUAACCCCUAACAUAUUUUGUUUUCCUUACCAAAAUAUAUCCAUACACAAAUAUUCACAUACACACACAAUCCUCACCCACACACUGUUAUACACAUACACUCCUCACCAUCACAUACGCAGGUACACCACACUCACUGGAAAAAUUAGAGAGGACACACAAUAUACACACACGCACUUUACACAGAUUCCACAGACACUGACCUCAUGAUUUUUCUUUUCCAUUUUAAAUACACAAAAAACAAAAUAGGGAGGAGAUAUUACAUACACACUUACAUUUAAAGAGAGAAAAAAGGGACUCCUUCAUUUUGGGAGUUCAACAGAAACCUUACACAUACAAUACACACACAAAAGUAACCGAAAUGCGUACAAAUACUCACAGACCAGGAAUUCACCAUACACACCUAAUGGAAUAGAGAUCGAGUGAGAGAAGGUGAGAGAAAAGAGAACAAACGAGAGAGUGUAGAUAAACAAGCAUCUCCCACCAGUUACUAUUCUGGCAAUCAUUUUCUUCACUGAAAAACAGUGAAAUCUUGUAGGAAAUGCCACCAUCUGCCACCGACAAUACGACCUUGAAACCAUCCUGCCGAACAGUCCUCAAAUCAAUCAAAACCAGCAACCAGUCAAUCAAAAUCACCGAAAAACACUAAAUAUCUCUGAAAUUGAUUCCCCCAUUCCAGAUUUCGGCGAAAACAAUCAAAUUCAGUUUACGGUUUCCUCUUGUGACGUCGAGUGGUGCGAUACUGUUUGGGUUUGAGUUGUGGGUUGUCGGUUGAGGUUCAAUCGAGGUAUUUUUUAUGAGGUUCUAUCUUCGAUAUAUCGAAAUCGAUAACUGAGGUCCAAUUCUACUUUUGUUCUCUUUUAACUUCAUUAAAUUUAUUUGAUUUUUUAUGUGCUUAUGAUGAAAGUGCUUGAAUAUAUGUUAUUGUCAUCAUAUGGAAUUGUUAGAAUUAUGUUGAAUGGGUUGAAUGCAUCCUAAUAAGGAAAAUUGGAUAUGGUUUGAUCAAUGUUUUGAUUAAUUUUGAUUUGGAGGAGAAACCGGUAAUUUAAGAAUAGAAUUAAAGGUGGGAAUUGAAAAUCAAUAAAAGGAAAAUAUGGUUUGUUUUGGUUUAUUGUUGAUUGUUUAAUUUGGAAUAGAUAUCGAUUCUAGCUAACUUCGAUGAUAUCAUGUUUACGCCAAUAAUUGAUAGGUAAACGUAGGUUGGGUAGGCAAAGUUUAGGACUAGUGGUUUGUUGAAUGUUUGAAAUUUUAUUGAAUGAUUUUAUUUUCUUGUAUUUGGAAAAUGUAUUUAUUUAGCCGGGGAAUGCCCCGAGGUCAUUUCUAUUUAUUCACCGGAGAAUGCCCCGAAGUAUUAUGUACGCAAAGGAGGUUCGUGAUAAAGGAUCGAGGCACUGGGUGGAGCAUAGUUAGGAUUAGUGUAGGUUAGUGUAGGCUUACAUUUCAGUACCUUUUUAUUUCAGGUCUGUAAUAAAUUAGACUGGAUACUAUUUUUUGAGUUUUUGAAUUGUUUGGUUGUUUGUUUUCUUUUUUUGUGUGUUUUAUUGCUUUAUACAUUCCAUCGUGUCAUCCUAGAUGAUAUACUCUACGGAAUGACCAUGGUCGAACCACGGGAUCGGGGAAUGCCAAACAUCUUCCCCUCGGUCAAUAGAAUUUCUUAACUGGAAUCUCUGUUCGCGAAUCAGUUUAAAAGAGUCAAAAAAUUAUUUUGAAAAGGAAUGUUCAAAGGUGACUUGGAACACUAGAUUUAUGCCAAGUGGCAACUCUGAGUUUUGAUUGUUAGAAGUCUUUUUCAAAACAAAUUAUUUUAUUUUGUCACUUUAUAAUAAAAUCCUUUUCAAACGUAAAAUGAAUCUUUUUUGGAAAAAAAAAAAAGAAGAAAAAAGAGUUUUGUAGUUGUUUAGAGUUUUUAUGACUUUUAUUUCCCAUAAUCCAAAAAAUCAAAAAGAGUAUUACCUUUUGC